This 66-nucleotide small nucleolar RNA is filed under the name Bemisia tabaci. Lineage: Eukaryota; Metazoa; Arthropoda; Insecta; Hemiptera; Aleyrodidae. The record is from RNAcentral.
AUUUUCUAUGAUGAAUUUUUUACCGCCCCAGGCUGAAAGUCUGAUGAUUGGUUUUUCUGAUUCAAA